GGGAGGACGUGAAAGACAAGGACAACAACCUGGAGCCCUAAGAGGAAGGGGUGUCCGCAUGCGUGGCGGUAGGGUUAGACACCAAAGGGGAAGAUGCACUUGGAAUCUCUCAAAUGAGAUACGGGCAACAAUAGAGGACUUACGAUGAGAGAAGCUGGGCAGAGGGUACAGCCCAAUCUUAGCAGAUCCACAGUGGCAUCAAUCAUUCGAAUCUUCAGGAAUGAGAAUAGAUUUGAAAGAAAACCCCCUUCUGCUGGCCAAAGAUGAAUCUUUACAGCUCAACAGGAGGCUGCUGUAAUGGAUAUGGUGGUUGCCAACAAAACCAUCCAUUUGAGAUGUAUUGCGAGGGAAGCUAUUCGAUGUGAUGUUGAUGAGAACGUGUGGCCUGACAGAAAUCAGAGGCUGGACAUAGAAUAAACAAAUGGUUAUGUUUGAGUAAAGUUACCAUUUCAUUACAUUCCAUGUUUAUUUCUCUUCACUGUAUGAAGACAUUUCUGAGUCAACAUAAACUCCUAGGUCUUUUUCAUAUUGUCAUGUCUGUUCUUGAGAGUAAAAGUUGUCCACUGUUUGAGUUAUUUUUGGGUUGUCAACUGAAAGGAAAUGUAUGUAGCUCUUACUGUAAAGGUAACAUGUUUGUUUUUACACAAUUUGAUUAUCAAAAAGGAUGACAAAGGCAGAGGGAGUAUGCGCCAAGGGUUAAACAUACUGUAUUGAUGUUUGUAUUUAGUAUUUAUUGUACCGUUGUGAAAUGGCUGAUAAUGUGAGCUUUUCAUAAGAUGACAAAUUGUAUUGUUUUGAUGAACUUAUUUAAUUUUGUGACAUAUAUUUGA
Long non-coding RNA from Acipenser ruthenus (sterlet), 830 nucleotides. RefSeq lists it as uncharacterized. NCBI's taxonomy places the organism in Eukaryota, Metazoa, Chordata, Actinopteri, Acipenseriformes, Acipenseridae. The transcript has 3 exons. The record is from RefSeq and is a predicted model, not a curated record.